UACAGUUCUUAUACUUAAUUAUCUAUAUUAUAAUAUUUAAUUAUAUUCAUUUAAAUGGUGUUAGCUCCAUUACUUUUCCAUCAUCUCCUUCCUCUCACUUUCCUCGUCAUCCACGCCUCACAGUUCACCUUCUCCAUUUCACUUGCUCUCCUAUCUUCACCAACCUCAGAUUCUCCUCUCUCUCCUCUCCAAUUCACCAUCGGCCUCCUCCACCAUCUCUCAGAUCCAGAGUUAUGCCGCGGUGUUCGUGUAACGCCGACUUAAACACUGCCGCGUUCGUGUCAAGCCGCCGAGUUCAUGUCUCUUUCGUGUUCUUUCUCGUGUCACGCCGACAGAUCAGUAUCUAGAAUGGCGGAGAUCGAUUAAUGAGAAGAACCCUAAAAAUGAGACAAAGCGCUUAGAGUGCGGUAGGACUGCCACAGACCGGGCCAUGUUCAAUGCCAAAACAAAGUCCAUAUAAAAUGAAACCCAUAAACAUUGCGACAACUUUAAUGAAAUGCAACGUUUAAUAGAAGAUGGGCACGUGUCAGCCUGUCAGAGAGUAAGUUUCCACGUUGAUAGCUUAAGAGUGAGA
Molecule: long non-coding RNA, 574 nt
Filed under: Brassica napus (rape)
Lineage: Eukaryota; Viridiplantae; Streptophyta; Magnoliopsida; Brassicales; Brassicaceae
Description: long non-coding RNA (BNAP_LNC002488)
Source: RNAcentral